This 1257-nucleotide ribosomal RNA is filed under the name Bacteroides ovatus. RNAcentral's name for it is "bacterial SSU rRNA". It matches the Rfam family "Bacterial small subunit ribosomal RNA", at positions 1 to 1247 of the family's 1533-position model. The record is from RNAcentral. Lineage: Bacteria; Pseudomonadati; Bacteroidota; Bacteroidia; Bacteroidales; Bacteroidaceae.
CUUUUACAAUGAAGAGUUUGAUCCUGGCUCAGGAUGAACGCUAGCUACAGGCUUAACACAUGCAAGUCGAGGGGCAGCAUUUUAGUUUGCUUGCAAACUGAAGAUGGCGACCGGCGCACGGGUGAGUAACACGUAUCCAACCUGCCGAUAACUCCGGAAUAGCCUUUCGAAAGAAAGAUUAAUACCGGAUAGCAUACGAAUAUCGCAUGAUAUUUUUAUUAAAGAAUUUCGGUUAUCGAUGGGGAUGCGUUCCAUUAGUUUGUUGGCGGGGUAACGGCCCACCAAGACUACGAUGGAUAGGGGUUCUGAGAGGAAGGUCCCCCACAUUGGAACUGAGACACGGUCCAAACUCCUACGGGAGGCAGCAGUGAGGAAUAUUGGUCAAUGGGCGAGAGCCUGAACCAGCCAAGUAGCGUGAAGGAUGAAGGCUCUAUGGGUCGUAAACUUCUUUUAUAUGGGAAUAAAGUUUUCCACGUGUGGAAUUUUGUAUGUACCAUAUGAAUAAGGAUCGGCUAACUCCGUGCCAGCAGCCGCGGUAAUACGGAGGAUCCGAGCGUUAUCCGGAUUUAUUGGGUUUAAAGGGAGCGUAGGUGGAUUGUUAAGUCAGUUGUGAAAGUUUGCGGCUCAACCGUAAAAUUGCAGUUGAAACUGGCAGUCUUGAGUACAGUAGAGGUGGGCGGAAUUCGUGGUGUAGCGGUGAAAUGCUUAGAUAUCACGAAGAACUCCGAUUGCGAAGGCAGCUCACUAGACUGUCACUGACACUGAUGCUCGAAAGUGUGGGUAUCAAACAGGAUUAGAUACCCUGGUAGUCCACACAGUAAACGAUGAAUACUCGCUGUUUGCGAUAUACAGUAAGCGGCCAAGCGAAAGCAUUAAGUAUUCCACCUGGGGAGUACGCCGGCAACGGUGAAACUCAAAGGAAUUGACGGGGGCCCGCACAAGCGGAGGAACAUGUGGUUUAAUUCGAUGAUACGCGAGGAACCUUACCCGGGCUUAAAUUGCAACAGAAUAUAUUGGAAACAGUAUAGCCGUAAGGCUGUUGUGAAGGUGCUGCAUGGUUGUCGUCAGCUCGUGCCGUGAGGUGUCGGCUUAAGUGCCAUAACGAGCGCAACCCUUAUCUUUAGUUACUAACAGGUUAUGCUGAGGACUCUAGAGAGACUGCCGUCGUAAGAUGUGAGGAAGGUGGGGAUGACGUCAAAUCAGCACGGCCCUUACGUCCGGGGCUACACACGUGUUACAAUGGGGGGUACAGAAGGC